Molecule: non-coding RNA, 88 nt
Filed under: Pelagibacterium sp.
Lineage: Bacteria; Pseudomonadati; Pseudomonadota; Alphaproteobacteria; Hyphomicrobiales; Devosiaceae
Description: Glycine sequence
Rfam family: Glycine riboswitch aptamer
About the family: This family represents the bacterial glycine riboswitch. Glycine riboswitches usually consist of two metabolite-binding aptamers domains with similar structures in tandem.
Source: RNAcentral
GCCGUUAUUGCGGGAGAGAUCGGAUAUCUCCGGCGCCGAAGGAGCAACCGCCCCGGAAACUCUCAGGCAAAAGGACCGCAUACGAAAC